GGAUAGCUAAAUCGGUAGAGCAUGAGAUCCUUAAUCUCAGGGUUGUGGGUUCGAGCCCCAAAUUGGGCA
Non-coding RNA from Podarcis lilfordi (Lilford's wall lizard), 69 nucleotides. NCBI's taxonomy places the organism in Eukaryota, Metazoa, Chordata, Lepidosauria, Squamata, Lacertidae. The record is from the annotation of a GenBank genome assembly.